GGAUGUGAGGGCGAUCUGGCUGCGACAUCUGUCACCCCAUUGAUCGCCAGGGUUGAUUCGGCUGAUCUGGCUGGCUAGGCAGGUGUCCCCUUCCUCCCUCACCGCUCCAUGUGCGUCCCUCCCGAAGCUGCGCGCUCGGUCGAAGAGGACAACCUUCCCCGGUAGAGGAGGACUGUUCUUCGGUCAAGGGUAUACGAGUAGCUGCGCUCCCCUGCUAGAACCUCCAAAAACAAAAAGAUGACAAACAUAUACUCAUCUGCUAUUACUUUCCUAUUGCUGCAUGUAAAAAUUGUUACCGAGAGCUGUUUGAGCAACUUAACACAUAGUUUAUUUAUCU
RNAcentral lists this small nuclear RNA (337 nucleotides) under Ursus americanus (American black bear). RNAcentral describes it as "7SK RNA (ENSUAMG00000017275.1)". It matches the Rfam family "7SK RNA", at positions 1 to 295 of the family's 331-position model. From Rfam's summary of the family: 7SK was discovered as an abundant small nuclear RNA in the mid-70s but a possible function has only recently been suggested. Two independent studies have found that 7SK RNA binds the CDK9/cyclin T complex (known as elongation factor P-TEFb). Lineage: Eukaryota; Metazoa; Chordata; Mammalia; Carnivora; Ursidae. The record is from RNAcentral.